This 482-nucleotide ribosomal RNA is filed under the name uncultured bacterium. RNAcentral's name for it is "partial 16S ribosomal RNA". It matches the Rfam family "Bacterial small subunit ribosomal RNA", at positions 30 to 506 of the family's 1533-position model. The record is from RNAcentral.
AUUGAACGCUGGCGGCAGGCCUAACACAUGCAAGUCGAGCGGAUGAAGGGAGCUUGCUCCUGGAUUCAGCGGCGGACGGGUGAGUAAUGCCUAGGAAUCUGCCUGGUAGUGGGGAUAACGUCCGGAAACGGGCGCUAAUACCGCAUACGUCCUGAGGGAGAAAGUGGGGGAUCUUCGGACCUCACGCUAUCAGAUGAGCCUAGGUCGGAUUAGCUAGUUGGUGGGGUAAAGGCCUACCAAGGCGACGAUCCGUAACUGGUCUGAGAGGAUGAUCAGUCACACUGGAACUGAGACACGGUCCAGACUCCUACGGGAGGCAGCAGUGGGGAAUAUUGGACAAGGGGCGAAAGCCUGAUCCAGCCAUGCCGCGUGUGUGAAGAAGGUCUGCGGAUUGUAAAGCACUUUAAGUUGGGAGGAAGGGCAGUAAGUUAAGACCUGGCUGUUUGGACGUGACCAACAGAAGAAGCACCGGCGAACUGCGU